RNAcentral lists this ribosomal RNA (461 nucleotides) under uncultured archaeon. Its description in RNAcentral is "bacterial SSU rRNA". It matches the Rfam family "Archaeal small subunit ribosomal RNA", at positions 879 to 1339 of the family's 1478-position model. The record is from RNAcentral.
CCACAAGGGGUGAAGCCUGCGGUUCAAUUGGAGUCAACGCCAGGAAACUUACCAGGAGAGACAGCAGGUUGAGGGUCAGUCUGAAGAACUUACCUGACGAGCUGAGAGGAGGUGCAUGGCCGUCGCCAGCUCGUGCCGUGAGGCGUCCUGUUAAGUCAGGCAACGAGCGAGACCCCUAUCAGUAAUUGCUAACUGCCCAGAGAUGGGUAGAGGCUAGUUACAGAGACUGCCGUUGAUAAAACGGAGGAAGGAAGGGGCCACGGCAGGUCAGUAUGCCCCGAAACUCCUGGGCCACACGCGGGCUGCAAUGGUAGGGACAAUAGGUUCCGACCUCGAAAGAGGAAGGCAAUCCCCAAACCCUACCCCAGUUGUGAUCGAGGAUUGAAACCCGUCCUCGUGAAUAUGGAAUCCCUAGUAACCGCGUGUCAUCACCGCGCGGUGAAUACGUCCCUGCUCCUUGU